Molecule: ribosomal RNA, 700 nt
Filed under: Pseudomonadota bacterium
Lineage: Bacteria; Pseudomonadati; Pseudomonadota
Description: bacterial SSU rRNA
Rfam family: Bacterial small subunit ribosomal RNA
Source: RNAcentral
AUUGAACGCUGGCGGCAUGCCUUACACAUGCAAGUCGAACGGCAGCACGGGAGCAAUCCUGGUGGCGAGUGGCGAACGGGUGAGUAAUAUAUCGGAACGUGCCCAGUCGUGGGGGAUAACGCAGCGAAAGCUGUGCUAAUACCGCAUACGAUCUACGGAUGAAAGCGGGGGAUCGCAAGACCUCGCGCGAUUGGAGCGGCCGAUAUCAGAUUAGGUUGUUGGUGGGGUAAAAGCCCACCAAGCCGACGAUCUGUAGCUGGUCUGAGAGGACGACCAGCCACACUGGAACUGAGACACGGUCCAGACUCCUACGGGAGGCAGCAGUGGGGAAUUUUGGACAAUGGGCGCAAGCCUGAUCCAGCAAUGCCGCGUGCAGGAUGAAGGCCUUCGGGUUGUAAACUGCUUUUGUACGGAACGAAACGGUCUGCUCUAAUACAGCGGACUAAUGACGGUACCGUAAGAAUAAGCACCGGCUAACUACGUGCCAGCAGCCGCGGUAAUACGUAGGGUGCGAGCGUUAAUCGGAAUUACUGGGCGUAAAGCGUGCGCAGGCGGUUAUAUAAGACAGAUGUGAAAUCCCCGGGCUCAACCUGGGACCUGCAUUUGUGACUGUAUAGCUAGAGUGCGGCAGAGGGGGAUGGAAUUCCGCGUGUAGCAGUGAAAUGCGUAGAUAUGCGGAGGAACACCGAUGGCGAAGGCA